Long non-coding RNA from Aplysia californica (California sea hare), 616 nucleotides. RefSeq lists it as uncharacterized. The record is from RefSeq and is a predicted model, not a curated record. Lineage: Eukaryota; Metazoa; Mollusca; Gastropoda; Aplysiida; Aplysiidae. The transcript is spliced from 2 exons.
GGCACUUGGAUAUCGGCCUGCGCGGCCCGAGAUUUUCGUUCACCUGCGGCCGCCGCGUUUUGUGUCAGAAAUCGGGCCCCGUGAGGGGGGUACCUAUUUGUUUUGUUUCGUUUAUAGUGUUCUUUUCAAUUUAUGGAUUACUUCCGCCUAUCAAAUUAAAGAGGAAAGAAAGGCGCGUAUUAUAGCGUUUUCCACUUCGGGAUCGGUUGUGUGUGUUCGGAGUUACAAGGAGUUAAAAAUAAGCCCCUGAUCACAACCUGCCACUGUUCCAUUGGAUUUAUUGACAGCUCACCAGAAUAAAUCCUGACUUUAAUUAAAAUCCAGAAAUGCUUGCGGAGUUGGUCGAAUUCACAGAAAAACUUGUUUGAACAAGUUGCAAAAAAAUUGAGCACUUAAGAAAGCAUUUGUUGCAGACAAGAAAAAAAAAUUGACAUUAAUUUAACAAUAUCAAGUUGGCAGACUGGGUGAACUAAACAAUUGCCAGAAAUAAAGAAAGAAUAAAUAAGUAUCGUGACACAAUUGCGUGCUUCAAAAAACAUGUCAUAUUUCACAACUAAUUGUCUUUGAAGAAGUUGAACAUUUAAAUAAACACAAUAAAAAUAUAAUGAAAAACUUG